AAGUCGUAACAAGGUUUCCGUAGGUGAACCUGCGGAAGGAUCAUUAAUAUCAAAACGUUUUUUACAACGUUAACCCAAAAUGUUGAACUGUAUCGGAAACGUUGGUGGUUUUUUGGCUAAGUUUCCGCUAACGUUUCUUUGUUUUCAAUCAAAAUUUAGCUAAUUCAUUUUAACCCAAUUUCACCUCGAUAUUCAUUUGUAUGAACUUAUCGUUUUUUGAUCCGAAAGGAUUGAAAAAAUCAUACGAAACUUAAGAACAACUCUUAACAACGGAUAUCUUGGCUCUCGUACCGAUGAAGAACCGCAGC
This 308-nucleotide unclassified non-coding RNA is filed under the name fungal sp. Its description in RNAcentral is "partial internal transcribed spacer region". The stretch from base 1 to 46 matches the Rfam family "Eukaryotic small subunit ribosomal RNA", at positions 1786 to 1831 of the family's 1831-position model. Lineage: Eukaryota; Fungi. The record is from RNAcentral.